AUUCCAGCUCCAAGAGCGUAUAUUAAAGUUGUUGCAGUUAAAAAGCUCGUAGUUGGAUUUCUGGUCUAAUGCGCCUGGCCCGCUGCCGUUAGGUAUGUGAGUGCCGGUGCGCGUUUACCAUCCUUCCAGAGAACACUUCUACCAUUUAUUUGGACGGAUGUUGUCUUCUGGAUCUUUUACUUUGAAAAAAUUAGAGUGUUUAAAGCAGGCCUUUGCUGUGAAUACAUUAGCAUGGAAUAAUAAUCUAGGACUUCGGUUCUAUUUUGUUGGUUUCUAGUACUGAAGUAAUGAUUGAUAGGGAUAGUUGGGGGUAUUCAUAUUUAAUUGUCAGAGGUGAAAUUCUUGGAUUUAUGAAAGAUGAACUCAUGCGAAAGCAUUACCAAGGAUGUUUUCAUUA
RNAcentral lists this ribosomal RNA (397 nucleotides) under Cryomonadida sp. Its description in RNAcentral is "partial small subunit ribosomal RNA". It matches the Rfam family "Eukaryotic small subunit ribosomal RNA", at positions 582 to 975 of the family's 1831-position model. The record is from RNAcentral. Lineage: Eukaryota; Cercozoa; Thecofilosea; Cryomonadida.